AAUAGAUACCCCGGUAGUCCACGCCGUAAACGAUGGAUACUAGCUGUUUGAGCGCAAGUUUGAGUGGCUAAGCGAAAGUGAUAAGUAUCCCACCUGGGGAGUACGGGCGCAAGCCUGAAACUCAAAGGAAUUGACGGGGGCCCGCACAAGCGGUGGAGCAUGUGGUUUAAUUCGAUGAUACGCGAGGAGCCUUACCAGGGCUUAAAUGUAGAUUGACGUAUUUGGAAACAGAUAUUUCUUCGGACAAUUUACAAGGUGCUGCAUGGUUGUCGUCAGCUCGUGCCGUGAGGUGUCAGGUUAAGUCCUAUAACGAGCGCAACCCCUGUUGUUAGUUGCCAGCGAGUAAUGUCGGGAACUCUAGCAAGACUGCCAGUGUAAACUGUGAGGAAGGUGGGGAUGACGUCAAAUCAUCACGGCCCUUACGUCCUGGGCCACACACGUGCUACAAUGGCCGGUACAGAGAGCAGCCACUUAGCGAUAAGGAGCGAAUCUAUAAAGCCGGUCACAGUUCGGAUCGGAGU
Molecule: ribosomal RNA, 521 nt
Filed under: uncultured bacterium
Lineage: Bacteria
Description: bacterial SSU rRNA
Rfam family: Bacterial small subunit ribosomal RNA
Source: RNAcentral